Molecule: ribosomal RNA, 253 nt
Filed under: uncultured bacterium
Lineage: Bacteria
Description: partial 16S ribosomal RNA
Rfam family: Bacterial small subunit ribosomal RNA
Source: RNAcentral
UACGUAGGGGGCAAGCGUUGUCCGGAAUCAUUGGGCGUAAAGAGCGUGUAGGCGGCCCGGUAAGUCCGCUGUGAAAGUCGGGGGCUCAACCCUCGAAUGCCGGUGGAUACUGUCGGGCUAGAGUGCGGAAGAGGCGAGUGGAAUUCCUGGUGUAGCGGUGAAAUGCGCAGAUAUCAGGAGGGACACCGAUUGCGAAGGCAGCUCGCUGGGACGUAACUGACGCUGAGACGCGAAAGCGUGGGGAGCAAACAGG